RNAcentral lists this transfer RNA (68 nucleotides) under Histampica haimaensis. RNAcentral's name for it is "Histampica sp. h LQ-2021 tRNA-Met". Lineage: Eukaryota; Metazoa; Echinodermata; Ophiuroidea; Amphilepidida; Ophiactidae. The record is from RNAcentral.
AGUAAGGUAUGUCAAUAGGCAAUUGGGCUCAUGUCCCAAGAGUAUAGGUGAAAGGCCUGUCCUUACAU